This 920-nucleotide ribosomal RNA is filed under the name uncultured bacterium. RNAcentral describes it as "bacterial SSU rRNA". It matches the Rfam family "Bacterial small subunit ribosomal RNA", at positions 1 to 916 of the family's 1533-position model. The record is from RNAcentral.
UUAGAGUUUGAUCCUGGCUCAGGAUGAACGCUAGCUACAGGCUUAACACAUGCAAGUCGAGGGGAAACGACAUCGAAAGCUUGCUUUUGAUGGGCGUCGACCGGCGCACGGGUGAGUAACGCGUAUCCAACCUGCCCACCACUUGGGGAUAACCUUGCGAAAGUAAGACUAAUACCCAAUGACGUCUCUAGAAGGCAUCUGAAAGAGAUUAAAGAUUUAUCGGUGAUGGAUGGGGAUGCGUCUGAUUAGCUUGUUGGCGGGGUAACGGCCCACCAAGGCUACGAUCAGUAGGGGUUCUGAGAGGAAGGUCCCCCACAUUGGAACUGAGACACGGUCCAAACUCCUACGGGAGGCAGCAGUGAGGAAUAUUGGUCAAUGGACGAGAGUCUGAACCAGCCAAGUAGCGUGCAGGAUGACGGCCCUAUGGGUUGUAAACUGCUUUUAUAAGGGAAUAAAGUGAGUCUCGUGAGACUUUUUGCAUGUACCUUAUGAAUAAGGACCGGCUAAUUCCGUGCCAGCAGCCGCGGUAAUACGGAAGGUCCGGGCGUUAUCCGGAUUUAUUGGGUUUAAAGGGAGCGUAGGCCGGAGAUUAAGCGUGUUGUGAAAUGUAGAUGCUCAACAUCUGCACUGCAGCGCGAACUGGUUUCCUUGAGUACGCACAAAGUGGGCGGAAUUCGUGGUGUAGCGGUGAAAUGCUUAGAUAUCACGAAGAACUCCGAUUGCGAAGGCAGCUCACUGGAGCGCAACUGACGCUGAAGCUCGAAAGUGCGGGUAUCGAACAGGAUUAGAUACCCUGGUAGUCCGCACGGUAAACGAUGGAUGCCCGCUGUUGGUCUGAAUAGGUCAGCGGCCAAGCGAAAGCAUUAAGCAUCCCACCUGGGGAGUACGCCGGCAACGGUGAAACUCAAAGGAAUUGACGG